Molecule: long non-coding RNA, 1745 nt
Organism: Osmia bicornis bicornis
Lineage: Eukaryota; Metazoa; Arthropoda; Insecta; Hymenoptera; Megachilidae
Exons: 3
Source: RefSeq, a predicted model, not a curated record
UACAAUGCAAUGAUAUAUGAUAAACUAUACACCUAUUUGAAUAAAUAGGUAAAUGGUGACCUACGUCUUUGUAUUUCCAACUUUUUAGGUCGUUUCCGGAUAAUCGUAGAAAAGUCUAGUCUAGUAGGUAACGAUACAUCUAGUAUACAUAUCUACUACAAGAGAAUAUAAAUUUUCACAAGAGAAUAAAAAUACCUUGAAAUAGAGGAGAAUCAAAUUGAAAGAGUGGAAAAUCUUUUUACCUAAUGAUUCAGAGCAGAAACUUUCUAAAGGUUCCUAUGAAUGCUUCUUGAAUAUUAUGAGAAGGAGAAAAAUACGGAUGAUACACGAGGCGAAAAUGAAGGAAAAUAUUCUACCUAAGAAAAGAACAGAGUCAGAUUGGAUUUCUUUGUCGUGUGGUACGAAUUCUGUUUGAUCUCGAGAGAAGGAUUCGUUGACGAAUCCGUUCCAACAGAGACGUCUUUCGAUUUCCGCUGACUGUUCCUGUGACGGUCGGUAUUUACUCCGGCUAGCGGCUGUUGAAAAUUCUACUAGUUCGAGCAGGAACAGGUUAAAGGAUCUCGAGUGGAACAGUGGGUCGAGUGGUGUAGGAAAGGGUGGAUUCGCUCUAUCCGAACGGCACGAACUUUCAGGGAUCGUCGCCAAAAAUUGGCAAAAGUUUCCACAACCUACUGACGAUGAGACGUGCAUAUUUCCACGUCUGCGGAAUUCUAGUAAAGCUAAACCAGCAGAAAACUCAGAAAACUACCGCGCCGAUCCAGAUAAAGAUCUCUGUUUAGCUAAGAGGAUUUAAGAUAUUUAACAUAUCAACCGUGACAUUCCAAUGAAAAUGAAGAAAAAGCAGAAAUUUGUUAACUCUUUUGCUUCUUCAGAAAUAGAAUCAAAGCUUUCAAAGCUUUCAAAGCUUUCAAAUAAAUAACAAAUCAUUAUUAUACUAUAAUAUAAUACAAUGGACUUUCAGAGCAAAAGAGUUAAAAAGAGUUAAGCCAUAUCUGUAUUUUUCACGAGAUAUUCGAUUUCGAUUUUCAUCGCAAAAAAAAAAAACAGUCACCGACCUUUGCCCUUAUCAUUUUAUUUUAUCGAAUUUGUUAUAUCGCAUCGGUCGCAGAAUCCCACGGGAAGAGAUUUCAGCCUGGAAAAUCCUCUGCAUCGCUCCAACGAAAUCUAACACGAACAAAAUUUCAAGCUUCUGCUUUCCUCUGGUAAAUUAUCCUCUAGUAAAUUAUCCUCUGGUAAAUAUUACAUUUUCUCGUGAAAAUAUCAUUGUGAAAUAUAUCAUUAUGUAUUAUAGUGUUAUACAAAAUUGAUUACGAUAUACAUAUGUAGUAUAACAUAGAUAGAGUAGAAUUUGUGCGUAACAAAUAACGCGUUGAAUGAAAAAAUAUGCGUGUGAAGAAGAGCGAGAAACUAUUUGAAAUUGAACAUGUACUGAACAUGCUAUUGAACUCGUAAAAAACAAAAUACUUAGAAUUAGAAAUAUACUGAAACUAUUUUUGAUAAUUUUCAAUCCUAACGUUACGAUACAUCGAUGAUACUGACAAUGAAAGAGCUGCGAGUAAACUCCCCCCACAAAUAAAACGCGAACGAAUAUAUUGUACCAUUGUCAAGAGACAGAGAAUCGAAGCCUAAUAAAUAGAGCGGAAUAAUAUUCGACAGGCGUAUCGUUUAGAUUUUAGAUGGGUUGCAUUUGUUCGAAUACGAAAAUCAUCAACCCACCCUUUAAAACGGAUACUACAUAUACAUAU